UUAGAGUUUGAUCCUGGCUCAGGAUGAACGCUGGCGGCGUGCCUAAUACAUGCAAGUCGAACGAAUCUCUUCGGAGAUGAGUGGCGAACGGGUGAGUAAUACAUAGGUAACCUGCCCCUGUGCGGGGGAUAACAGGAGGAAACUCCUGCUAAUACCGCAUAGCCAUGAGCACCGCAUGGAGCUCAUGCCAAAUAUCCUUUCGGGGAUAGCGCAGGGAUGGACCUAUGGCGCAUUAGCUUGUUGGCGGGGCAACGGCCCACCAAGGCAACGAUGCGUAGCCGGCCUGAGAGGGCGGACGGCCACAUUGGGACUGAGACACGGCCCAGACUCCUACGGGAGGCAGCAGUAGGGAAUUUUCGGCAAUGGGGGAAACCCUGACCGAGCAACGCCGCGUGAGCGAAGAAGGCCUUCGGGUCGUAAAGCUCUGUUGUAAAGGAAGAACGGCGCAUACAGGAAAUGGUAUGCGAGUGACGGUACUUUACCAGAAAGCCACGGCUAACUACGUGCCAGCAGCCGCGGUAAUACGUAGGUGGCGAGCGUUAUCCGGAAUCAUUGGGCGUAAAGAGGGAGCAGGCGGCCGCAAGGGUCUGUGGUGAAAGACCGAAGCUAAACUUCGGUAAGCCAUGGAAACCGGGCGGCUAGAGUGCGGAAGAGGAUCGUGGAAUUCCAUGUGUAGCGGUGAAAUGCGUAGAUAUAUGGAGGAACACCAGUGGCGAAGGCGACGGUCUGGGCCGCAACUGACGCUCAUUCCCGAAAGCGUGGGGAGCAAAUAGGAUUAGAUACCCUAGUAGUCCACGCCGUAAACGAUGGUCACUAAGUGUCGGGGGUCAAACCCCGGUGCUGCAGUCAACGCAAUAAGUGACCCGCCUGAGUAGUACGUUCGCAAG
Molecule: ribosomal RNA, 887 nt
Filed under: uncultured bacterium
Lineage: Bacteria
Description: bacterial SSU rRNA
Rfam family: Bacterial small subunit ribosomal RNA
Source: RNAcentral